UACGUAGGGUGCGAGCGUUAAUCGGAAUUACUGGGCGUAAAGCGUGCGCAGGCGGUUCGCUGUGUCCGAUGUGAAAGCCCCGGGCUUAACCUGGGAAUGGCAUUGGAAACUGGCGGGCUUGAGUGCGGCAGAGGGGGGUGGAAUUCCGCGUAUAGCAGUGAAAUGCGUAGAGAUGCGGAGGAACACCGAUGGCGAAGGCAGCCCCCUGGGUCGACACUGACGCUCAGGCACGAAAGCGUGGGGAGCAAACAGG
RNAcentral lists this ribosomal RNA (253 nucleotides) under uncultured bacterium. RNAcentral describes it as "partial 16S ribosomal RNA". It matches the Rfam family "Bacterial small subunit ribosomal RNA", at positions 524 to 776 of the family's 1533-position model. The record is from RNAcentral.